Heterocephalus glaber (naked mole-rat) is the source of this 564-nucleotide long non-coding RNA. RefSeq lists it as uncharacterized. NCBI's taxonomy places the organism in Eukaryota, Metazoa, Chordata, Mammalia, Rodentia, Bathyergidae. The record is from RefSeq and is a predicted model, not a curated record.
GAACUUCUUUUUGUUCAGUGCUCAGCCAUUUUAGACACAGAGUCUGCUGAGCUGGUGUAUACACCUUAAAUAAAUCAUCCUGACUCCCAGUUGGUCUUCCUGUCUCUUGGAAUUCUGCAACAAUGUGGUGUCAGGAUUAAACGAGAUUCAAGAUCUACAGUCUACAGCCUGUCCCCAGCACGGAGCUAGUGUAAUGAUGCUUAUUACAGGUCCCAUCUGUGUACACGCCUCGCGCAGCAGCUCGGUACCAGCGCUCCAUCCCCGCCGCCCGCAGCGCCGCGACGCCUUCUUCUCACCCAUCUCGGGGACCCCAGUCAUAACUGACAUUUAAAGGAAAUAAACAUGGACUUUAAAAAUCACUACACCCGGUCGCAGUGAAAAACAGAACUGGCUGGCGGCUGUCGGGUCUCGGCUGGCCAGCUCUUCCAGCCUCACAGUUUCCCACACCCGAACCCCACAAAUCACCAUUUCCAGGCACCACGCGAGGCUGCCAAUUCCACUUUCGCUUAAUCUCCUUUCAAAUCCGGCUACAGAGGCGGCUCUGGGCCGCGGCGAUGCGCGGGG